Pelobates cultripes (western spadefoot toad) is the source of this 1595-nucleotide non-coding RNA. Lineage: Eukaryota; Metazoa; Chordata; Amphibia; Anura; Pelobatidae. The record is from the annotation of a GenBank genome assembly.
AAUCCUGUAACCUGUGAUUUAACAACAAUUGGAGCCCAGUUUGCAGUAGCAUGGAAACCAGUCCCUAUAUGCAUGCUGGCUGUGUUUAACUUAUUCUUGAGGGUCUCCAUAUCUAUAACUAUUUAGUAUACCCAUAGUGGUUCCAGCACCUCCUAACAGUGUGUCAUACCAUUCCCUUUUCUGCCUUUUGUUUGCUGUGUUACAUAUUGUUACAACAGGAGUAGUGAUUUUUAAUGACAUAUGUACAGCUUGUAAGAAGGCAGUUGUAUUAAUACAUGUGGACGAAAUAGGUGUGUGUGUCGUUGUUGACUUUUGGUUCUAUGGUAGAGGAUAAAGGACAGUAAUAAGGUGUAAAAAUAUAAGGUAGUGUAUAGUUCUCAAUUGUAGUGUCGUUCAUAAUGACUAACAUUUGUCCCCUUCUCCGAUUAAUGAUACCAGUUAUAUAAUCAUUAUUAAAAGUAAUAAGGCCUGUCUGUUUACAUUGAUAUGCAACCUUAACUGUGCACAUUUCUGCGUUAUAAGAUCUAACAAUUUUCUGUGAACCUUUAAACAAACAUAAUGCAUCGGUUUCAUUAGCUGUGGACACAUUUCAUAUGGGUAACUGGUACUUAUAAGGGUUAUUAUUUAUCCAAUUCAUCCAAAUGCGUUAAUUGAAUGAAUGAUUGCAUAUUACAAGCUGAUAGAAAGGUGGUGGAGAAAGGUUCUUGAGGGGGCGUGUGUGACGAAUGCUAGAUGAGGGGCUAAGGCCUAAUUGGGCUGGGGGUAUUGAAGAAUUGUUCAUCAUGUCAGAGUCUUUUUUCCAGAAACAAACAGGUUUCAAACUUCCCAUUGACUUGUACUCAUAAUGGCAUUCAAGGAACAAUAUCAGAGGGAGUAUAACAACUCCAGAAAGCAUAGCGCACAACAUAAUCUUGGUCUCAGGUAUGUAUGAUCCUCUCAAUCUACGAUAUGGUGUGAAAGCCAUGAUGCUUCGCUGAGGAGAAAUUCUUCUGUUUCCGAGCGAGGAGUGGUGUUGUCUUCCUUAGUUCCCCUCUUUGGACACAGCUUCACUCGGGAUGCGUGAAUCCAGAUGUCAUGGGAAUCUGUAAGGACAGCGGUUCUGGGUACAGCAAUCACAGUAGCAGGUGGUCCAAAAGGGUAUCCUCCUUUCUUGGUCCUGUUCAGCUGACGGAUAUACACCUUGUCACCGGACUGGUAUAAAUGAGUAGGUUCCUGUGAAGGUAAGGGAAAACUGCGAAGAAACAUUGUCAUACAUACCAUUCGGUUUUAUCAACAAUUCCUGUACAUAUUGUUCUUGUAUAAGCUGUAAAUCCCCAGACAUUAUAACAAGCGGUUCCCUGGCCCAGGGUGUGGGAAAAGGUCAUCCCAUCAAAAUCUCAAAUGGAGAUAAUUUAGUCACCUUGUGGGGAUUCAUUCUUAUCUCAGCUAAAAUAGCUGGUAGAUAUCUAGUCCAAUUUACCCAUGUGCCUGGGUAAAUUCUGUGCUUUUCCUUAAUAGUCCUAUUCAUCCUUUCAACUACCCCUGUAUUCUGUGGAUGAUAGGGUAUAUGAAACUGCCAGGUAACUUGCAAGAAUUUAGCAAGUUCCUGGGCAACC